CUUGUCUCACCUAUUGCUGUGUACCCUGCCCUUCACUGCCCUCUAGCCACACUGGCAUCCUCACAGUACCUCAAACUCUCCAGGCAUGCUUCUACCUCAGGGCCUUUGCAUUGGCUAUUCCCUCUGCCUGGAAUCCCCCAAAUAGCCACAAGGCUCACUCAUCUCCUUUUUUUCUCGGAGAGAUCUCCCCUGAUUUAAAAUUGCAGUCACCUCCUAAUCCCUAUUACCCAGCUUGAUAUUUUUUUCCUUUGGCUUUACCACAUUUUAGCCUACUGUUUAACAUACAUUUUACCUAUGUUGUUUAUUGUCUGUUUCCCUUCUCUACCCAUUGGACUUAAGGUCCCUCAGGAGUGCUUUGUCUGUUUUUAGUAACUGAUGUGUUAAAGGGGUCACAGUGCCUUAGCUGUGAAAGUGCUGAUGUAUUCCAGCCCCAAGGAAGCCCCACUCCAGAUAUAUGUGUCUAGCCCCAGACAAGGAUUCCCAGGGAAGAGCUCCCAAAUGCUCACAUGGCUGUUCAUAGACUCAAAGCACAGCAUGUCAUGGCAGAACAGGAGUCAGAAUGUCUCUCAGCAUCCAUCAGCCCUCAGUGAGCAUAGUUGCCUAUUGGCCCUGAGGACUGACACUCACUCACUCCUACUGCCCCCUCAACCUCUAGUCCAGUAAUUGCCCAGUGCAACUAUGAACUGGACAACCUCCUGCUGUAUAGCUGGAGAAAUUGAGGCCCCAAAUGGAAGGGGACUUUGGCAAUUCUAGGCCAAAUUUAGAAUCUGAACUCAAGUUUCUUUUCUCCUACUCAGGGGUUUGCCCACCACAGUAGAGGGUGUAUAUGUAGAAGGAAGGCAUAUGCAGAGAGCUGAGUCCUCACGGUGUGUUCCAGACCUUUCCUCUACCCACACUCCCAAGCUCUCUACCAGUACAAAGUCCAGGUUCUACCCACUCACCCGUGUCCACAGCGAGGAGGGCAACCAAGGCCAGGGUGACCACCCAUAGACGGACGGCCAUGCUGAUCCUGAGCUGGUGUGGCCCAAGCUAACUGGGGCCUGGGUGGCAAGGAAGGAUGGAAACCUGUUUAUAGUGCUGAUCCCCACCCUUAUCUUAUCUGGGGCCAGUUGGAGACAAGAGCGUCACCUCAAGUUAAUCCCUGCAUCCUGGAACCAGGAAAGGGCUUGUUCAAGACAAAUAGUUUCUGGUGACAUGGAGCUGUGGCUAUGAGACUGGCAGAUUUCUGGAGGGAGCAAAUGUUUGGAUAACUUACAAAGUAGACUGGAGCAAGGAAAGGGUAGUUGAAGUAAAAAGAAAAGGGAAGAGAAAGAACAGAAAAAACAGCAAGUAGGAGGAGGCAGAGAAAGGGGGCUGGAGUCAUGGAUACCUUUGUCAGUACCUCCCCCACCAACUUUGUGACUCAGGAAAGCCAUUUUCCUUAACUGGGCCUCAGUUUAUCUGUGCACAAAACAGAUGAUAAUUCUGACUCAGCCUUUCUCCCAGAACAGCUGUGAAACUGGAUUGGUGAGAGCAGAUGGGAAACAUUUGUUAAGUAUGCAGUGAGAGAAAUAUAAACAAAACUGAUUCUUUUUACUUAUUUUUUGGUGCCAUGAAGUGGGCAUAACCAGCAGAUAAAAUAAAGGCAAAAUAAGACUUUUUAAAUAGCAUGUUUCUCAUGCUGCAUGUACUAGCCCCCUGCUUCUGACACAGAAUAAAACAUUAGAAGAAAGAUACUUUCAUGUUUUUCAGGUACUAUAUGCUCAUUUCCAUUUUAAUAGGUUAAACACAGGAUUCUUUUCAAGAAAAAGCAGUAUCUAAAACUCCCCCAUAUCUCUGUAAUAUACAUAUGAAGGAGUAAUUUGAUUGUCUGCCUUCAAAGAAUUUCUGACUUAUAAAAUGAAUACAAUGAAGCUGGACUUGGUGGUGCUGCGUGCCUGUAAUCCCAGUGGCUCGGGAGGCUGAGGCAGGAGGAUCAUGAGUUCAAAGCCAGCUCAGCAAAAGCAAGGCACUUAGCAACUCAGUGAGACCCUGUCUCUAUUUUUUUUUUUAAGAAAUAAAAGUUUUUUAUUAAUUUGAAACUUUUCAAAUGUAAAAUUUUGUUACCUGUCAGUUUCUAAUUUUACAGCUAUUUCUGGUUCUUUGGGCUUAUUUAAUGUUUUUGUAUUAAUUAUUCCCCUUGAGAGGCUUAAGAUACACUCAAUUAGGGAUUUUAAGAUACAGUCUAUUCAUAAUAUGUUCCUAAAUCCUAUUUGUUUCUUACUUUUUUUUUUUAAUUUUUUAUUGUUGGCUGUUCAAAACAUUACAUAGUUCUUGAUAUAUCAUAUUUCACAAUUUGAUUCAAGUGGGUUAUGAGCUCCCAUUUUUACCCCAUAUACAGAUUGCAGAAUCACAUCAGUUACACAUCCAUUGAUUUACAUAUUGCCAUACUAGUGUCUGUUGUGUUCUGCUGCCUUUCCUAUCCUCUACUAUCCCCCCUCCCCUCCCCUCCCCUCCC
RNAcentral lists this long non-coding RNA (2476 nucleotides) under Marmota monax (woodchuck). Lineage: Eukaryota; Metazoa; Chordata; Mammalia; Rodentia; Sciuridae. The record is from RNAcentral.